Schistosoma margrebowiei is the source of this 45-nucleotide non-coding RNA. The record is from Rfam. Lineage: Eukaryota; Metazoa; Platyhelminthes; Trematoda; Strigeidida; Schistosomatidae.
AUCCAGCUGAUGAGUCCCGAAUAGGACGAGACGAGCAUCCUGGAU